Molecule: unclassified non-coding RNA, 476 nt
Filed under: Pourthiaea arguta
Lineage: Eukaryota; Viridiplantae; Streptophyta; Magnoliopsida; Rosales; Rosaceae
Description: external transcribed spacer
Source: RNAcentral
UNUUUCGUCGGGCGGUGCUGGGUUUAGCUAACGUGACGGCGUAUGAGUGGUGAUUGGGUUGUAUCCGACGGCAGGCUCCGUGCUUCGGCAUCGAACUGUCGGCUCGUACCCCGCUUCAGUGACGCGUCAAAGAUCYGUCUUGCGCGCAAGAUGGGUUUCUGUUUUGGCUACCUAUUGCGAAGGAAUGCUGCCUAUCGUCGUCCCUUUCCUCCUCUCGCCGGCCUUGUCGGCGGGAGGACGACAUCGUGGCGGUGCUCGUGUCCCGGACAAGCCGCACUCGUUGCGAUGCAGUUUCGGCGCUCGAGUCUCCGCUCGACAUCUCGGAUGCGGAACGCUAAAGGGGCGGUGGGUCUUUACGGCCUCCGAUCGUCCGCUCGRAGCCUUGUCGCUUGACGCGUACGACUGCCGUGCCCGUCGCGGGACGGCGACCGUCAGGGUCGUCCGUCCGGCGCGGCGCCGGCGUCGAGGAGGAAUGC